UGCCAGCCGCCGCGGUAAUACGGAGGGUGCAAGCGUUGUUCGGAAUUAUUGGGCGUAAAGCGCGUGUAGGUGGAUUGGUCAGUCAGAUGUGAAAGCCCCGGGCUCAACCUGGGAACUGCACCUGAUACUGCCAGUCUUGAGUACAGUAGAGGGCAGUGGAAUUUCCUGUGUAGCGGUGAAAUGCGUAGAUAUAGGAAGGAACACCAGUGGCGAAGGCGACUGCCUGGACUGAUCGCUGACCCUGAGGGACGAAAGCUAGGGGAGCAAACAGGAUUAGAUA
This 280-nucleotide ribosomal RNA is filed under the name uncultured bacterium. Its description in RNAcentral is "partial 16S ribosomal RNA". It matches the Rfam family "Bacterial small subunit ribosomal RNA", at positions 506 to 784 of the family's 1533-position model. The record is from RNAcentral.